GUUUGAUCCUGGCUCAGAUUGAACGCUGGCGGCAUGCCUUACACAUGCAAGUCGAACGGUAACAGGUCUUCGGAUGCUGACGAGUGGCGAACGGGUGAGUAAAACAUCGGAACGUGCCCGAUCGUGGGGGAUAACGCAGCGAAAGCUGUGCUAAUACCGCAUACGAUCUACGGAUGAAAGCCGGGGGAUCUUCGGACCUCGCGCGGACGGAGCGGCCGAUGGCAGAUUAGGUAGUUGGUGAGGUAAAGGCUCACCAAGCCGACGAUCUGUAGCUGGUCUGAGAGGACGACCAGCCACACUGGGACUGAGACACGGCCCAGACUCCUACGGGAGGCAGCAGUGGGGAAUUUUGGACAAUGGGCGCAAGCCUGAUCCAGCCAUGCCGCGUGCAGGAUGAAGGCCUUCGGGUUGUAAACUGCUUUUGUACGGAACGAAAAGGUCUCUCCUAAUACGGGGGGCUCAUGACGGUACCGUAAGAAUAAGCACCGGCUAACUACGUG
RNAcentral lists this ribosomal RNA (500 nucleotides) under uncultured Burkholderiales bacterium. Its description in RNAcentral is "bacterial SSU rRNA". It matches the Rfam family "Bacterial small subunit ribosomal RNA", at positions 11 to 507 of the family's 1533-position model. Lineage: Bacteria; Pseudomonadati; Pseudomonadota; Betaproteobacteria; Burkholderiales. The record is from RNAcentral.